GGAGAGGUGACUUGGUGGUACAGCAUGUGCUUAGCAUGCAUGAGGCCCUGGGUUCCAUCCCCAGCCCCACCA
Molecule: transfer RNA, 72 nt
Filed under: Fukomys damarensis (Damara mole-rat)
Lineage: Eukaryota; Metazoa; Chordata; Mammalia; Rodentia; Bathyergidae
Rfam family: tRNA
About the family: Transfer RNA (tRNA) molecules are approximately 80 nucleotides in length. Their secondary structure includes four short double-helical elements and three loops (D, anti-codon, and T loops).
Source: Rfam by way of RNAcentral